This 1612-nucleotide long non-coding RNA is filed under the name Marmota monax (woodchuck). The record is from RNAcentral. Lineage: Eukaryota; Metazoa; Chordata; Mammalia; Rodentia; Sciuridae.
GCAGACUCUUAUUCGCCUGAGCGGAUCCACGCGUACCAAGACCUAGCUUUAGCGCUUGCCGCGCGUUGUUACCUGGGAACACGUGGCUGUCACUGCUCAGGCUAAGGGGGCUUGGAGUUUGCGCAUGUGCGGUUACCCACUGCUCGGAGACGGUAUGUUUAAAGCUAAGAGCCAUGGGAAUUUUACAGUGUACCGGAAAGAGCAGUCCAUGGAAAGACAAGAGACUUUUUAAAGUUAUGUGCGCCAAGUCACUGGCUGUGUGACUUUGGGCAGGCUCUUUGACUUUAAUGAGCAUCGUUUUUCUCACCCAUAAAACCCAUAUAAUAAUAGCAUGCACUUCCACCCUCUCAGGGAUGUAAAGGGCUCAUAGUUGAAUUGAGGAAUCAUAUCUGUAAAGCAAUACAGAAUGAAAUCACCUAAUAGCAAUAGUUAUAAAGUUCUGAGUCCCUCAUGGAAAUGGCGGAAGCAGAGUGAGUGCCAAAGGCGGUACAAUGAAAUAGGACCAUGAACUAUGGAGGCAUGUUCUGAUCCCAACCAGCAAAGGCUAAGUUUGCUUUGUUGAGCCUCAUUCUCCCUGUCUGCAGAGGUAAUAAUAAUAAUGCUAAAUGUACCCCCAGGAUUGUUGGGAGAAUUAAAUAUGUUUUAACUGAUUAGGUUCACAAUAAAAUGGAGCUAUCAGUUAUAUUUAUUAUUACUAAACUUCUUUUAGGUCUAAAGAGAGAGUUGAACACAGCAAAACAUUCCAGAGAUGUUUGAUUUCUUUUCCACUAUGUGAAGCUGAACUUCAGCAGGUUCUAUAAUUGCAUUCAUUUUUUAAUUUUCAUUACUUCUUAAUUCCUGUAAUACUUUGAACUAUUAUUUCUUUUUUAUUUUGUUUUAUUUUUUAGAUAUACAUGACAGUAGAGGGUAUUUUGACAUAUUAUACAUACAUGAUACCUUCGUUUCUUAUGACAGUGGGCAACCUCUCCAGCUGAAGAGCUCUAGAGAAAUCUCCAGAGAGUCCCUGGAGGGGCCAGUCCAGCCAACCAGUAGGCAUGAAAGAGUAAAAGUGGGCUUGAACUCUCUCUCUUGCUCAGACCAAUCCCUGCCACCUCAUGGAGUUCUAUUUUCACCUUCACCUUCAAUAACUCUGUUUAAAAAAAAAGUAAAAGUAGCUGAGAUCUGCUGUGCAGAAAGUUUUUUCCUACCUCUGCAUUUCAGCCUUGCCCAACUAGGGUCACAUGAAUUUAAAAAAAUUCCAUCUCAAUUUUCACUUGCAUUGGCAGACAAGCUCCUUCCUGAUCUGGCCUACCUUUCCAGUCUCAUCUUAAUUAAAAAGACCAGCCAUCAAUCAGAGCGAACAGGUGGCUGCCCCAGCCACUUCCCCCAAGAAUAUUUUGUAUCAGCAGAGCCAGCAGAAGCCAGCUCUGGAGGUGGAGGACUCUGGAGCAGCAUUGGAUUGAUUAUCUAUCUACUAUCUAUUGACUUGUGAUUUGGAACCCCAUUUUCAAAAUCUCUGAGCCUUGUCUUUCUCUAUAAAAUGAUGAUCAACAAUGACUACUUCGUAUGAGAAAUUAUACCCCAAUUGAUUCAAAUGUAUGAAUUGCCAAGAUCAUUGUAAUGUCAUGUGUAG